ACGGAUGAAAAUGAAGGUACCUCCACAGGAAGCCCCGGCCAACUACCACCAGCAGCCGCGGUAAUAGGUAGGGGGGGAGUGUUGUCCGUUUUUAUUGGUCGUAAAGAGGUAGUAGGCGGUUCAACAAGUAGGUGGAAAAACUUCAGGGCUCAACCCUGAAACACGAUAGAUAACGUUCUAGAAGGAUACUAGGAGAUGAAAGAAUUCCGAGUGUAGCGGUGAAAUGAGUAGAUAUUAGGAGGAACACCAACGGAGAAGGCCGCUCAGUCGGCCGCUAUCGACGAUGCGGAGCGAAAGGUAGGGGAGCCAACAGGAUA
This 317-nucleotide ribosomal RNA is filed under the name uncultured Actinomycetes bacterium. Its description in RNAcentral is "bacterial SSU rRNA". It matches the Rfam family "Bacterial small subunit ribosomal RNA", at positions 459 to 779 of the family's 1533-position model. The record is from RNAcentral. Lineage: Bacteria; Bacillati; Actinomycetota; Actinomycetes.